Small nucleolar RNA from Astyanax mexicanus (Mexican tetra), 126 nucleotides. Ensembl annotates it as small nucleolar RNA, H/ACA box 65. Its record names the gene SNORA65. The record is from Ensembl. NCBI's taxonomy places the organism in Eukaryota, Metazoa, Chordata, Actinopteri, Characiformes, Acestrorhamphidae.
CCCGCCACUAUGCUGGUCUGUGAGUGACUUGGUAUAAUCCAGUGGAGGCUAAGACCAAACCCAGCUCUAGGAAGCAGGUCUGCCCAAUAUUAUGGGUAACUCUGUGCCGAAAGGUCUGGAACAAAC